RNAcentral lists this long non-coding RNA (1313 nucleotides) under Lathyrus oleraceus (garden pea). Its description in RNAcentral is "Pisum sativum (pea) long non-coding RNA (PSAT_LNC023860)". The record is from RNAcentral. Lineage: Eukaryota; Viridiplantae; Streptophyta; Magnoliopsida; Fabales; Fabaceae.
UGGAGUUCAUCAAGAUGGUGAUGGGUUUAAUGAAUGGCGUAUGAGGAGCCAUGCAUGCUUGUGUAUAUUUUCUAUAUCUUGUACUAGAUCUUGUUCUUGUUCUUGUUCCUAAGUUUCAUAUUCUUAGUAUUAUGUUUUGUUUUUGUUUCUUCUAUUGUUUGUUGAAUUUUCUCUUACCUUGGUGGAGAGUUGUUGUGGAUAUAAUUAAUGGAGUUAGUGUGUCCCUUGAGCUUCCUAGUCAAAGAUGAGUUUGACUUGGUUUGAUUAGAUAGUGGAAAGGUAGGGUUUAUAGGUUAUAUAGGUAGUAACAAAUAAUUUCAGGUAUUAAGUAAUUAUUACAUAAUUGUAGUUUUUUUUAAUGUUGUUUUCAUGUUGUUUUUGAAAUAAAGUAAGAUGAUAUUUUUUGUGAAAAAUGAUAAAAAUAUGUUAGUAAAAUACAAAUUUAUUUAUCUACAAUAAGAAUGAUAUGACAUUGUUUGUUUGUUUGUUUUGGAGAUGAAUAUGACAAUUUUUAAAAAUCAAAUUUAUUACUUAUUUUUCUGACUCAUUCAGUCCAUGUUGUAUAAGGAUCAUUAUUACUCUCAAGUGGACGUAGUCACCAAUCGUUUUCGUUGUUCUGUUGUCAAUUUUGUUGUAAUUGAGUAGUUAACAUCUUGUGUGUCACUCAUAUAUGUUUCUGUGUAUAUAUUUCAAUAAGAUAUAUAUAUAUAUAUAUAUAUAUAUAUAUAUAUAUAUAUAUAUAUAUAUAUUAUAUUAUAUAUAUAUAUAUAUUCAUAUAUAUAUAUAUAUAUUGUGUGGUUGAUAUGGUUAGGAUGGUUGGGGUAGAUGGGGGAGGGUGAGUUUGGAUAACAAAUAUUUUUUUAUAUUAUGGUAACAGAUAGUUUUGGAAUGCACUAAGAAAGAUUAUCAAAUGUUUACUAGCAAUGGAGGUUUUGCUCCGGCUUCAGAGAUCGUCUAGAAUAAUAUAAUUCUUUUGAAGGUGUUCUUUUUUUCUUGGAAAUUGUUGUAUAGUAAAAUUCAGAAAAUUUAUAAAUUUGAAGUCUUAGCUGUGUGGAUUGUUUUGUGAGAGUUGUGUGAUAGGUUGGUGUUAUUUGGUUAGGGCAGGUUGCAUCUAUUUAAAAGGUUUGCAAUCAUAUGAUAUUGAUGAUGCAAGAGCUCUUAUAGUAGAUAAUGAAAAAGUUAAUAUGAUAUUUUUGUGUUUAACAGUUUAGAAAUUUUGAACAUUUACAAAUUUGAAGUCUUAGUUGUGUAAAUAGUUUUAUGUGUAAUUUUUUUAAAUAACCAAUAUUUUUAAUUUAAAUACUCAAAUAACC